Molecule: long non-coding RNA, 671 nt
Organism: Hipposideros armiger (great roundleaf bat)
Lineage: Eukaryota; Metazoa; Chordata; Mammalia; Chiroptera; Hipposideridae
Exons: 3
Source: RefSeq, a predicted model, not a curated record
GGGAAGUAGGAUAGCAGAGAAUCAUGACUUUGGGAUAAAGUCCUUCAGGGAAAAUAGAAACCUACACUUCGGAAUGAGACCAUGAAUCACAAAAUCUGACCAGAAGUCACAGUGCAUUGUGGAAAAGAGCUGGUUCAAGAGAUAAGAGAGAGCAACGAAAUUAGUCCUCGCCACCCAGCCAGCAGAUGAAGAAAGAGAAAGAGAGAGGAAAAGUGCAUGGGAGUGUGCAGGGCAGCACAACAAUACUGUCAUGAAUCAGGCAGCAGCCCCUGACUGCAGGGAAAGCUGGAAGCCUGACAUCACGGAAGUCGGACUGGGGAGGCACACAGCAGGCUCUGGCUUCCAUAAAGAUCCAUGUUAUUUGUGGAGACUGACAACACCAAGACCACAAAAACGGGGUCAGCUCUUUGCUAUGCCAAAUCUUAAAAUGGAAGUUGAAGUCUUUCUUUUAACCCAGAAACAGAGGCCCCCAUUUGGGCCCUUUCCAAAGCAUCUAAUGACUUAACUAUCCAGAUGUCAGAAGAGGACACGGCAACAGCCACCCUGGGCCCAUGUCCGUGCUUCUCAGGCCAGAACUGGCGAUGCCCCUGCACCCAGCCCCAUGGUCCCAGCCCUCUGCCACCUCAUCCCCAGUCUGACAAGCCACCCUAAUGGAUUGACCGUGGCCUUUG